Molecule: ribosomal RNA, 277 nt
Filed under: uncultured bacterium
Lineage: Bacteria
Description: partial 16S ribosomal RNA
Rfam family: Bacterial small subunit ribosomal RNA
Source: RNAcentral
UACGGAGGGUGCAAGCGUUGUCCGGAUUUAUUGGGUUUUAAAGGGUGCGUAGGCGGCCCUAUAAGUCAGUGGUGAAAUACUGCAGCUUAACUGUAGCAUUGCCAUUGAUACUGUAGGGCUUGAGUUACAGAUGAGGUAGGCGGAAUUGAUGGUGUAGCGGUGAAAUGCAUAGAUACCAAUCAAGAACACCGAUUGCGAAAGGCAGCUUACUAAACUGUAAACUGACGCUGAAGGCACGAAAAGCGUGGGGGAUCGAAACAGGAAUUAGAAAACCCCC